This 919-nucleotide ribosomal RNA is filed under the name uncultured archaeon. RNAcentral's name for it is "bacterial SSU rRNA". It matches the Rfam family "Archaeal small subunit ribosomal RNA", at positions 1 to 922 of the family's 1478-position model. The record is from RNAcentral.
UUCCGGUUGAUCCUGCCGGAGGCCAUUGCUAUCGGAGUCCGAUUUAGCCAUGCUAGUUGUGCGGGUUCAGACCCGCGGCAGAUAGCUCAGUAACACGUGGCCAAACUACCCUAUGGACGGGAAUAACCUCGGGAAACUGAGGCUAAUCCCCGAUACAGCUCUCAGACUGGAGUGUCGAGAGCUGGAAACGCUCCGGCGCCAUAGGAUGUGGCUGCGGCCGAUUAGGUAGACGGUGGGGUAACGGCCCACCGUGCCGAUAAUCGGUACGGGUUGUGAGAGCAAGAGCCCGGAGACGGUAUCUGAGACAAGAUACCGGGCCCUACGGGGCGCAGCAGGCGCGAAACCUUUACACUGCACGACAGUGCGAUAGGGGGACUCCGAGUGCGAGGGCAUAUAGUCCUCGCUUUUCUGUACCGUAAGGAGGUACAGGAACAAGUGCUGGGCAAGACCGGUGCCAGCCGCCGCGGUAAUACCGGCAGCACGAGUGAUGGCCGCUAUUAUUGGGCCUAAAGCGUCCGUAGCCGGCCAGUCAAGUCUGUUGGGAAAUCGACGCGCUCAACGCGUCGGCGUCCAGCGGAAACUGACUGGCUUGGGGCCGGAAGACCUGAGGGGUACGUCUAGGGUAGGAGUGAAAUCCUGUAAUCCUGGACGGACCGCCGGUGGCGAAAGCGCCUCAGGAAGACGGACCCGACGGUGAGGGACGAAAGCUAGGGUCUCGAACCGGAUUAGAUACCCGGGUAGUCCUAGCCGUAAACGAUGCUCGCUAGGUGUGCCGCAGGCUACGAGCCUGCGCUGUGCCGUAGGGAAGCCGAGAAGCGAGCCGCCUGGGAAGUACGUCUGCAAGGAUGAAACUUAAAGGAAUUGGCGGGGGAGCACUACAACCGGAGGAGCCUGCGGUUUAAUUGGAUUCAACGCCGGG